Long non-coding RNA from Cololabis saira (Pacific saury), 583 nucleotides. RefSeq lists it as uncharacterized. The record is from RefSeq and is a predicted model, not a curated record. The transcript is spliced from 3 exons. Lineage: Eukaryota; Metazoa; Chordata; Actinopteri; Beloniformes; Belonidae.
UGAGAGGUGCAGGUAAGAGCUUUGAUUCAUCUCCUCGAUGACGUGAAUUCAGCUCACAGGCGGUGAUCAGCAUGUGUUUCGUUCACAGCGGAGCCGGAGACUCCUGCCAGAGUCUGGACUGGGUCCUGGCUGCCUUACCUCUCCAUCUGCGCUAGCGCUGCUCUUCUAGUUACCUCACUCAUCUUCUUUACCCUCCUCUGUUCCAGUGACUCCAAUCGAAUAUGGACCUGCAAGUGUGCAAAGAGAGAGGAAACGUGCACCAGCCGAUUCUGCCCCGUGUGGAGAACCAGCACAUCUUCUGACCAGCGUGUCUCUGUCCUGAAUGACAUCUACCAUCUAAACAGUGCAAACACGCCGCCGGCGCCAUGUCCUCCUGCUUCUACCCCGACCCCAGCGGGGACUCCAGGGUCACAUGAUGCGGUCUACGCCGCCAUCCACCACGGACAGCGUGGGACACCUGCCGGGACACGGGAGGCCACGCCCAACCGGGGCAAUAGCUCAGAGUACGCCGGCGUCAGGGUGCCCUGAACGUCUGGGGGUUCCCACAAAGAUUCAGAUGAUGAAGAGACUUAGGGUGCUUUCA